GACGAACGCUGGCGGCGUGCCUAAUACAUGCAAGUCGAACGCAGUGGGGACGGGUGAGUAACACGUGGGUAACCUCCCAUCAGAAGGGAUAACACUUGGAAACAGGUGCUAAACCGAUACUGAUGGAUGGACCCGCGGUGCAUUAGCUAGUUGGUGAGGUAACGGCUCACCAAGGCCAGGAUGCAUAGACGACCUUGGAUGGGGAUCGGCCACAGUGGUACUGAGACACGGCCCAAACUCCGACGGGAGGCAGCAGUAGGGAAUAUUCGGCAAUGGACGAAAGUCUGACCGAGCAACGCCGCGUGAGUGAAGAAGGUUUUCGGAUCGUAAAACUCUGAUGUUAGAGAAGCGGUAUCUAACCAGAAAGCCACGGCUAACUACGUGCCAGCAGCCGCGGUAAUAC
Molecule: ribosomal RNA, 403 nt
Filed under: uncultured bacterium
Lineage: Bacteria
Description: partial 16S ribosomal RNA
Rfam family: Bacterial small subunit ribosomal RNA
Source: RNAcentral